AGCGAACGCUGGCGGCAGGCUUAACACAUGCAAGUCGAGCGGGCAUCCUUGUGGUGUCAGCGGCAGACGGGUGAGUAACGCGUGGGAACGUGCCCUUCGGUUCGGAAUAACUCAGGGAAACUUGAGCUAAUACCGGAUACGUGCGAGAGCAGAAAGGUUCAUCUGCCGAAGGAUCGGCCCGCGUCUGAUUAGCUAGUUGGUGAGGUUAUGGCUCACCAAGGCGACGAUCAGUAGCUGGUCUGAGAGGAUGAUCAGCCACACUGGGACUGAGACACGGCCCAGACUCCUACGGGAGGCAGCAGUGGGGAAUAUUGGACAAUGGGGGCAACCCUGAUCCAGCCAUGCCGCGUGAGUGAUGACGGCCUUAGGGUUGUAAAGCUCUUUUCUCCGGGACGAUAAUGACGGUACCGGAGGAAUAAGCCCCGGCUAACUUCGUG
This 437-nucleotide ribosomal RNA is filed under the name uncultured bacterium. Its description in RNAcentral is "partial 16S ribosomal RNA". It matches the Rfam family "Bacterial small subunit ribosomal RNA", at positions 29 to 507 of the family's 1533-position model. The record is from RNAcentral.